This 415-nucleotide ribosomal RNA is filed under the name uncultured bacterium. Its description in RNAcentral is "bacterial SSU rRNA". It matches the Rfam family "Bacterial small subunit ribosomal RNA", at positions 29 to 429 of the family's 1533-position model. The record is from RNAcentral.
AACGAACGCUGGCGGCGUGCCUAACACAUGCAAGUCGUGCGAGAAAGUUCCUUCGGGAGCGAGUAAAGCGGCGCACGGGUGAGUAACACGUAGGUAACCUGCCCCCCAGUCUGGAACAACUAGAGGAAACUCUAGCUAAUGCCGGAUGAGACCACGAUCCCUUCGGGGGUUGCGGCCAAAGAUGGCCUCUACUUGUAAGCUAUCGCUGAGGGAUGGGUCUGCGGGCCAUUAGCUUGUUGGUGAGGUAACGGCUCACCAAGGCUGUGAUGGCUAGCUGGUCUGAGAGGAUGACCAGCCACACUGGGACUGAGACACGGCCCAGACUCCUACGGGAGGCAGCAGUGGGGAAUAUUGCGCAAUGGGCGAAAGCCUGACGCAGCGACGCCGCGUGGGUGAUGAAGGCCUCGGUCGUAAG